This 214-nucleotide ribosomal RNA is filed under the name uncultured bacterium. RNAcentral describes it as "partial 16S ribosomal RNA". It matches the Rfam family "Bacterial small subunit ribosomal RNA", at positions 1288 to 1500 of the family's 1533-position model. The record is from RNAcentral.
UCAGUUCGGAUUGUAGUCUGCAACUCGACUACAUGAAGCUGGAAUCGCUAGUAAUCGCGAAUCAGAAUGUCGCGGUGAAUACGUUCCCGGGUCUUGUACACGCCGCCCGUCACACCAUGGGGAGUUGGGAAUGCCCGAAGCCGGUGACCUAACCGAAAGGGAGGAGCCGUCGAAGGCAGGCUUGAUAACUGGGGUGAAGUCGUAACAAGGUACC